ACUUAUUAUUAUUAAAUAAUUAUUUAAUUAAUGGUUUAAAAGUUAUUUUUAUUUUUUAAUUUAUCUUUGAGUGUGCCGCGUCUCCGUGGCUGUGCCCCAGCCUCCGCUCGUUGCAGCAGGUGGGGCUCCUCACGCGCUGCCAUUCUCCGGCUUCUCGCUGUGCCAACGUCUCCUGCUGCAGUCGUCGCGGCUUGCGGGCUCAGUGGUUGUGGCACAUGGGCUUAGCUGCCCUGUGGCGUCUGGAACUUUCCCAGACCAGGGGUCCGACCCAGUCACCUGCCUUAGUAGGCAGUUUCUUAACCCCUGAACCCCAAGGGCAGCCCCCCGGGGUCGCUUUCUCUCCACGGCCAGCUCUGAGGAAGCAGGCAGCCAAGCUGGGGACCUCCAGGUAGCAGGGAACUGGGGGAGCCUUUAGGUGUUGAGGGCGGCCUAGCCAACAGCCUGCAUAGACCACCAGCUAACACCCAGCGGAACAAGGGGCCCUUGGUCCUACGGCUGCAAGGAAUUGGAUUCUGUCAACAACAGAGGAAGCUUGAGCGUGAAUCCUUCUCCAGCCAAGCCUCAGUUGAGAUCGAAACCGAGCCGACACCUUGUCUGCGGCCUUGUGAGACCUGGAAGCAUAGGAGCCUGUCAAGCCACAGCCAGUUUCUUGUGCUGUUUCAAACCUCUGAGGCUGUGCAGUGGGUCCUGCAGCGAGAGGAGCAGACGUUGGCCAUCAAAGCUGGAAGCCCCGGCCGUGCCUGUUUGGUUCCUCUGUGUGCUAGACUCAUGUCUCGGGUGACGAUCGUGGUCCCGCCGCAGCCUGUCUCACUGAGCUUAGCCUUGAGGAGGGGUAAAGCCCCACAGAACUCCAGUAAGUUUCUUCCAAUGGAAUUCUGCAGCAAAGUUUUCAAAUGAUGUGUGUGUGUGCGCUAAGUCGCUUCAGUGGUGUCUGACUCUGCAGCCCCAUGGACUGUAGCUCGCCAGGCUCCUCUGUCCAUGGGAUUCUGCAGGCAAGAAUACUGGAGUGGGUUGCCAUGACCUCCUCCGGGGAUCUUCCUGACCCAGGGAUCAAACCCUGGUCUCCUGUCUUUCCUCAUUUGGCAGGCGGGUUCUUUACCACUAACUCCACCUGGGAAGCCCCUUCAAAUAAAAGACUGUU
Bos taurus (domestic cattle) is the source of this 1141-nucleotide long non-coding RNA. Lineage: Eukaryota; Metazoa; Chordata; Mammalia; Artiodactyla; Bovidae. The record is from Ensembl.